UGAGGAACAUGACCUUCGGCGGGGGAUAGCCGACCCAACGGCCGGGUAAUACCGCGUACGACCACUUUGGGACAUCCCUAGGUGGUGAAAGCAGCAAUGCGCCGAUGGAGUGCCUCGCGGCCUAUCAGCUAGUUGGUGAGGUAAUGGCUCACCAAGGCGACGACGGGUAGCUGGU
RNAcentral lists this ribosomal RNA (175 nucleotides) under uncultured bacterium. RNAcentral's name for it is "partial 16S ribosomal RNA". It matches the Rfam family "Bacterial small subunit ribosomal RNA", at positions 118 to 291 of the family's 1533-position model. The record is from RNAcentral.